GACCGCAUAGCUCAGUUGGCAGAGCAUUGGGCUAGUAUUCGAAAGGUCGUAGGUUCGAUUCCCACCGUGGUCA
Molecule: transfer RNA, 73 nt
Filed under: Paramuricea clavata
Lineage: Eukaryota; Metazoa; Cnidaria; Anthozoa; Malacalcyonacea; Plexauridae
Rfam family: tRNA
About the family: Transfer RNA (tRNA) molecules are approximately 80 nucleotides in length. Their secondary structure includes four short double-helical elements and three loops (D, anti-codon, and T loops).
Source: Rfam by way of RNAcentral